This 598-nucleotide ribosomal RNA is filed under the name uncultured bacterium. Its description in RNAcentral is "bacterial SSU rRNA". It matches the Rfam family "Bacterial small subunit ribosomal RNA", at positions 57 to 650 of the family's 1533-position model. The record is from RNAcentral.
GCAAGUCGAGCGGUAGAGAGAAGCUUGCUUCUCUUGAGAGCGGCGGACGGGUGAGUAAUGCCUAGGAAUCUGCCUGGUAGUGGGGGAUAACGUUCGGAAACGGACGCUAAUACCGCAUACGUCCUACGGGAGAAAGCAGGGGACCUUCGGGCCUUGCGCUAUCAGAUGAGCCUAGGUCGGAUUAGCUAGUUGGUGGGGUAAUGGCUCACCAAGGCGACGAUCCGUAACUGGUCUGAGAGGAUGAUCAGUCACACUGGAACUGAGACACGGUCCAGACUCCUACGGGAGGCAGCAGUGGGGAAUAUUGGACAAUGGGCGAAAGCCUGAUCCAGCCAUGCCGCGUGUGUGAAGAAGGUCUUCGGAUUGUAAAGCACUUUAAGUUGGGAGGAAGGGCAGUAAAUUAAUACUUUGCUGUUUUGACGUUACCGACAGAGUAAGCACCGGCUAACUCUGUGCCAGCAGCCGCGGUAAUACAGAGGGUGCAAGCGUUAAUCGGAAUUACUGGGCGUAAAGCGCGCGUAGGUGGUUAGUUAAGUUGGAUGUGAAAUCCCCGGGCUCAACCUGGGAACUGCAUUCAAAACUGACUGACUAGAGUAUG